GACGGGAGAGUCUCUNGUGGGAACGUACCCUUCGGUUCGGAAUAACCCAGGGAAACUUGGACUAAUACUGGACCCGUCCGAAAGGAGAAAGAUUUAUCGCCGAAGGAUCGGCCCGCGGCUGAUUAGCUAGUUGGUGAGGUAACGGCUCACCAAGGCGACGAUCGGUAGCUGGUCUGAGAGGAUGAUCAGCCUCACUGGGACUGAGACACGGCCCAGACUCCUACGGGAGGCAGCAGUGGG
This 240-nucleotide ribosomal RNA is filed under the name uncultured Hyphomicrobiales bacterium. RNAcentral's name for it is "uncultured Rhizobiales bacterium partial 16S ribosomal RNA". It matches the Rfam family "Bacterial small subunit ribosomal RNA", at positions 100 to 358 of the family's 1533-position model. Lineage: Bacteria; Pseudomonadati; Pseudomonadota; Alphaproteobacteria; Hyphomicrobiales. The record is from RNAcentral.